This is a non-coding RNA of Acanthosepion pharaonis, 106 nucleotides long. Lineage: Eukaryota; Metazoa; Mollusca; Cephalopoda; Sepiida; Sepiidae. The record is from the annotation of a GenBank genome assembly.
UUACGGCCAUAUCACGUUGAGAUACCGGUUCUCGUACGAUCACCGAAGUUAAGAAAUGUUGCACCAGGUUAGUACUUAGAUGGGUGACCGCUUGUGAACACCAGGU